UACAGAGGGUGCGAGCGUUAAUCGGAAUUACUGGGCGUAAAGCGCGCGUAGGCGGCUUUGCAAGUCGGGUGUGAAAUCCCCAGGCUUAACCUGGGAACUGCAUUCGAGACUGCAUUGCUAGAGUAUGGGAGAGGGAAGUGGAAUUUCCGGUGUAGCGGUGAAAUGCGUAGAUAUCGUGAGGAACACCAGAGGCGAAGGCGGCUACCUGGACAAUUGCUGACGCUCAGGCACGAAAGCGUGGGGAGCAAAAGGG
Molecule: ribosomal RNA, 253 nt
Filed under: uncultured bacterium
Lineage: Bacteria
Description: partial 16S ribosomal RNA
Rfam family: Bacterial small subunit ribosomal RNA
Source: RNAcentral